UUUUCUCUCUUUCUCUCUCUAAAUUAUCGAGCGUAUUCUUGUGAGUAUACUUUGAGUGUUGCUAUACGGUGCGGGUUUCUGUCAGCACUAUACCGAAAUUCAGUCAGAAGUACGGUUAUUUUGAGGUAAGGGGUAUUAUUUUCUUCUUAAAUGAUAUUUUUUCUUCAAUAUCAUUAUGCCGAAGUAUUGGUGAACUUUUUUAUCAAAUUUGGAACUUGUUGUGUCGGGGUUACUAUUCACGUAUACGGCACUAUUCACGUAUACGACACUAUUCACGAAUACGGCACUAUUCACCGAAAAAUAAAAAUUUUUCUUUUUGUCCAAAAUAUCUAUUCUGGAUACUAGCUUUGAUUGUAUCCAUGUUUUGAUCAUUCUUGAAUUUUACACCAAUAUGAUUAUUUUCGAAGUAUUUUUGGACAUGGGUAAAACAAAGUACGAAUCCUUAAUCCUUAAUCCUUGUCAUUUUGUUUCACUGGAUUCGUUUCUUUAAAAAUGUUUUUCAUCAUCCUCAGUCCUAAAUGGUGAUAUAAAUGAAUAUCUUUGGCCUGUAGUGCAAAGAUGAACGAUUAACUGAUGAAUAUCUUUGGCCUGUAGUGCAAAGAUGAACAGGUGUUGAGAUGAACAUGACCAACUGGUGAUACAAAUGAAUAUCUUUGGCCUGUAGUGCAAAGAUGAUUAAAGAUGUAUAUUGAUUGUUAUUACAGGGAUAAACUAUUGAUGAUGGACUUUUAAACCUUAGAAGACAGUAGAAUUCUUUCUCUACGUGACUCUUCUAAUGGAUUGCUGUUUCCGCUGCAUUUGUUGAUCUAAAACUUGUUGUCUAUUGUAUUCUAUUAGAUUUUUCCCUGUUGAAGACUAACGAUAAUUUGUUGUAUAUUAUCUUAGUCAUAAUAUUCUUUACUGGGCUAGUUGAGCUCACCCUUUUCCUUUUUGUUCCAUUUUUCUUCUCAGGAGGUGAGAACAUAGCAGGAUCGAGUCGGGGUAUGGAGUGAUGGUUCUAGGAAGAUGUUUUAGUUGUCCUCACUAUUUCUGUAAAAUAGUGUAUGAAUAAUUAAUGAGGACUUAUUUGGGUGUGUAUAUUGUCUAGAAGACAAUAUUUGUAUUCAAACUCACAGUUGUAUUGUCGUAUUCUACACGACAUCUGUAUU
This 1148-nucleotide long non-coding RNA is filed under the name Panax ginseng (ginseng). RNAcentral describes it as "long non-coding RNA (PGIN_LNC003582)". Lineage: Eukaryota; Viridiplantae; Streptophyta; Magnoliopsida; Apiales; Araliaceae. The record is from RNAcentral.